RNAcentral lists this ribosomal RNA (403 nucleotides) under Leptolyngbya sp. 11. Its description in RNAcentral is "bacterial SSU rRNA". It matches the Rfam family "Bacterial small subunit ribosomal RNA", at positions 367 to 785 of the family's 1533-position model. The record is from RNAcentral. Lineage: Bacteria; Bacillati; Cyanobacteriota; Cyanophyceae; Leptolyngbyales; Leptolyngbyaceae.
CGCAAUGGGCGCAAGCCUGACGGAGCAAUACCGCGUGAGGGAGGAAGGCUUUUGGGUCGUAAACCUCUUUUAUUGGGGAAGAAGCACUGACGGUACCCAAUGAAUCAGCAUCGGCUAACUCCGUGCCAGCAGCCGCGGUAAUACGGAGGAUGCAAGCGUUAUCCGGAAUUAUUGGGCGUAAAGCGUCCGCAGGUGGUUAAUCAAGUCUGCUGUUAAAGCGUGCGGCUUAACCGCAUAUCGGCAGUGGAAACUGGUUGACUAGAGUUCGGUAGGGGUCACGGGAAUUCCCAGUGUAGCGGUGAAAUGCGUAGAUAUUGGGAAGAACACCAGCGGCGAAAGCGCGUGACUGGGCCUGAACUGACACUGAGGGACGAAAGCUAGGGGAGCGAAAGGGAUUAGAUAC